Molecule: ribosomal RNA, 483 nt
Filed under: uncultured bacterium
Lineage: Bacteria
Description: partial 16S ribosomal RNA
Rfam family: Bacterial small subunit ribosomal RNA
Source: RNAcentral
GACGAACGCUGGCGGCGUGCUUAACACAUGCAAGUCGAACGAUGAAGCUGGAGCUUGCUCCAGCGGAUUAGUGGCGAACGGGUGAGUAACACGUGAGCAAUCUGCCCUUGACUCUGGGAUAACUGCGGGAAACUGUAGCUAAUACCGGAUGCGAGGUUUGAAGGCAUCUUCAGAUCUGGAAAGAAUUUCGGUCAAGGAUGAGCUCGCGGCCUAUCAGCUAGUUGGUGAGGUAAUGGCUCACCAAGGCGACGACGGGUAGCCGGCCUGAGAGGGUGACCGGCCACACUGGAACUGAGACACGGUCCAGACUCCUACGGGAGGCAGCAGUGGGGAAUAUUGCACAAUGGGCGAAAGCCUGAUGCAGCAACGACGCGUGAGGGAUGAAGGCCUUCGGGUUGUAAACCUCUUUUAGUAGGGAAGAAGCGAAAGUGACGGUACCUACAGAAAAAGCACCGGCUAACUACGUGCCAGCCGCCGCGGUAA